GACGAACGCUGGCGGCGUGCCUAACACAUGCAAGUCGAACGGAACUGUUUUGAAAGAUUUCUUCGGAAUGAAUUUGAUUUAGUUUAGUGGCGGACGGGUGAGUAACGCGUGAGUAACCUGCCUUCAAGAGGGGAAUAACAUUCUGAAAAGAAUGCUAAUACCGCAUGACAUAUCGGAACCACAUGGUUUUGAUAUCAAAGAUUUUAUCGCUUGAAGAUGGACUCGCGUCCGAUUAGUUAGUUGGUGAGGUAACGGCUCACCAAGACCGCGAUCGGUAGCCGGACUGAGAGGUUGAACGGCCACAUUGGGACUGAGACACGGCCCAGACUCCUACGGGAGGCAGCAGUGGGGGAUAUUGCGCAAUGGGGGCAACCCUGGCGCAGCAACGCCGCGUGAAGGAGGAAGGUUUUCGGAUUGUAAACUUCUUUUAUUAAGGACGAAAAAUGACGGUACUUAAUGAAUAAGCUCCGGCUAACUACGUG
This 482-nucleotide ribosomal RNA is filed under the name uncultured bacterium. Its description in RNAcentral is "partial 16S ribosomal RNA". It matches the Rfam family "Bacterial small subunit ribosomal RNA", at positions 28 to 507 of the family's 1533-position model. The record is from RNAcentral.